Molecule: long non-coding RNA, 1791 nt
Organism: Sorghum bicolor (sorghum)
Lineage: Eukaryota; Viridiplantae; Streptophyta; Magnoliopsida; Poales; Poaceae
Exons: 2
Source: RefSeq, a predicted model, not a curated record
GAUCGGCUCCCGACUCGACCGCAUCACCGGGGACCGGCCUCCUCCUGUCCCGUUCUGCUGCAGAACUCGAGGGUUUGAGCGCUUCCAGGGUUUGAUCCGGAUGAGCCGCCGCCUCCAUCGCCCCCCAUCCUCAGCUUUUUAUUAACGGAUCCGGACGAGGCGCUGGUGUCAUCCUUAACGCCGCCAACCUCCGCUCCCCCGUCGUCAUCACCCCUCACGCCUAGCAGUACCAGUAGACCUCGGCCUCCAUCUCGCCUGCAUUUUCAUGAUGAAGGAGGCACGAUCUUCAUCUUGGUCAGACCUACUGCCAGAAAUAUUGGGGCUUGUUCUCAGGCGGCUACCCUCUUUAGCUGAUCGUGUUCGACUAAGGGCAGUGUGCCGCCCAUGGCGUUCCAACGCUCAGCUAGAUGCCCUGCUCCCACUGCUUCCUUGGCUCACCCUCCUUGACGGGACUUUCUUGAGUAUUCCGGAUGGUAAAAUUAUCAGAUUGCCGAUACCUUUUAAGGCUUUUUGCAGAGGUUCUGUUGACAACUGGAUGUUCUUCGUGCAUGGUGAUGGUGGGUGCUCACUGAUGAACCCUUUUUCCAAGGCCACACGGGACAUUUCUAAGCUAGUCACCACGUGGUUCAAUUCAAACUCCAGAUGUUACAGUUAUCAUUUCUUUAAGCUGGUGGCACCCUCGCCCUUGGAAUCAUCACCAGGUUCCCUUGUUGCGCUGAUCUUGGAAGGUGGUGGUAGAAUUCGUAUUUGUCAGCCACCAAUCGCAGUUGACUUGGAGUUGCACCCUGACUCCUCUUGGGCUCAUCACUAGCCACGACUGUCCCUCCUUGAUGAUAUUACCUUCUUUCAUGGAAAAUUGUAUGGUGUUAGUAGGGAUGUGCUUUCAACUUUUGAGAUUACCUAUGGCCUUGAUAGUAAGCCAAAGAUAUCCUCCGACCUAUGCAUAACCAGUUACCCGGCUUUUUUUCGACUUUGGCCACCCCGACAGGUGCCUGGCUCGUGCUUGGUGCUGAGUUAUCUAGUUGAAUGUUGUGGUAGACUGUUAAUGGUGAAACGAAUGAUUGGGUGUAAUCUAGAAACAGAACCUUGUCCCUUGGAGUCUGAUCGCACCGCAGGGUUUGAGGUCUUUGAGGCAGAUUUGAGCACCAAACCAGGCCAAUGGAUAUCUGUCCGUGAGUUGGGUAGCCAAGCUCUCUUUGUUGGGAAGCACUGCUCCAAGUCUUUUCCUGCUGGGGAGUUUACUGGAGUUGAAGAGAACUGCAUAUAUUUCAUGCGUGACUAUUUUCCGGCGAACCUAGCUGCUAAUCCUCUUGGUGACAGUGGUGUGUACAACAUGAAAAGUGGGAAUAUCAAACCCUUGUUAUCAGAGACUGCAGCUGUGCCACAGCAUCAUGGUGGUCGGUGGUGUCCAACUUGGAUAUUCCCAACUGAUGCUAUGUAAUCGCUCAGCUUAGCUUGCUGUUCUGGGAUUAAGUAUGCACUUUUAAACUUAUGUUAGUCGCUCAGUUAUCUAUUAUUGAACCAUAUUAGCUACUCAAUAAGACUAAAGUAUCAUCUAUUUGCGGUAUGUUCUUAAGCUAGUUUUUCAUUGUACUGAACUUAGUUUCAAUAAUAAUGUUUACUUAUGGUGAUGAUGAGACCAAGGAGAAUUUCAUUUCACGCCUUGUCUUGGUUGAUUUUCUUUUAUAGUCCUGUGGUGAUGCCUGGCUUUUGGUGUGUAAAAUUUUCUGUCUCUGGUUUAUGUAUAUGAUGACUGUAAUCCUGUGGCUCUAUCUUACAGAUAUUUUGCUU